This 253-nucleotide ribosomal RNA is filed under the name uncultured bacterium. RNAcentral's name for it is "partial 16S ribosomal RNA". It matches the Rfam family "Bacterial small subunit ribosomal RNA", at positions 524 to 776 of the family's 1533-position model. The record is from RNAcentral.
UACGUAGGGUGCGAGCGUUGUCCGGAUUUAUUGGGCGUAAAGAGCUCGUAGGCGGUUUGUCGCGUCGGCCGUGAAAUCUCCACGCUUAACGUGGAGCGUGCGGUCGAUACGGGCAGGCUAGAGUUCGGUAGGGGAGACUGGAAUUCCUGGUGUAGCGGUGAAAUGCGCAGAUAUCAGGAGGAACACCGGUGGCGAAGGCGGGUCUCUGGGCCGAUACUGACGCUGAGGAGCGAAAGCGUGGGGAGCGAACAGG